This is a long non-coding RNA of Haliotis rufescens (red abalone), 757 nucleotides long. RefSeq lists it as uncharacterized. The transcript is spliced from 2 exons. The record is from RefSeq and is a predicted model, not a curated record. NCBI's taxonomy places the organism in Eukaryota, Metazoa, Mollusca, Gastropoda, Lepetellida, Haliotidae.
CUGUGAUAAUUUGGUUGAACUGUGAGAGACGUGGCGCUCUGCACUGCGCUGGCCUCCCGAUAAACUCACGAGACCUCGCAGUGACGUGACGAGCAGCCAAUCAGGCCACAGCAGCGACUCGCUCAUCCAAUGGACUGAUAGAUAAGUGUAUAAAUACAUCACAUCACGAGAAAUCCGUGGAGAGUGUAAACAAAGACGCGACGAUCAGCAAGGUGUGUCAUUCAGCAGACGUCAGAUUUCACGACAACACAAAAUGUCAGCAGCAGACGAGCAAUACAUGGACGAAUAUGAGAAAUACAACAUAGAUCAGGAUAAAUUUGUGAACACGGGCCAUAGUGGAAAGGGACGGACGAAGAAAGAAGCUGAACAACACAUUCGGGAGGACCCGAGCGGACACACAAGGAAGACAGUGCAGAAACUUAUGAACAAUGCACAUAACAAUGCGACCGGGCCGAAAGGUCCCUCCACGGUUAAGAAAUCCUGAUAACAUAAGAGAUAAGAAGUGUAACGGGUACCCAUGGCAACCGCUUCGUAAAGGACCAAGAGAAAGGAUAUGCAAUACUUAAAAGGAAGGACCCGAUUGACCAGUGGCCGGACUGAUGACCUCUUGAAGGUCAAGGUCACAGUGAUGUGAUAUCGGUGCGUCCAGGACGUAUGCUCUGACCAGGACAGACCAGGACAAUGGCACAUCCAUAUGUCUACAUUCGUCAUUUUGUCACGUUUACAAUUUGUCUUUUGAUAAAACAUAUAAAAUGUU